This is a long non-coding RNA of Equus asinus (donkey), 3801 nucleotides long. The record is from Ensembl. Lineage: Eukaryota; Metazoa; Chordata; Mammalia; Perissodactyla; Equidae.
GCAGGUUUCUCAGGACAGACACCUGGAGAACACAAUAAAUGCUGCCCACGAUGUCAGAGAAACACCACUGCGGGGAGGAGUGGGUCAGGUAAGGAGUUCUUUGGCACGGGGGAGUUGAUCUGAGUGUUUUCUGAUGCAGGAACUGCAGGUUGCUGGGAUUUGGCCCUUUCCCCUGGAAAAUGAGAAGUUAAGUCCAAGAUGCCUCCCCCUAGCUGGGGUCAAGGGCCUCAGGGCAUUGUGGACACAGACCAGGACAAAGUACAUCUCCCUCCUUUUUGGGCCUCUCUCCUAGGUCAGAGGUCACAGGGUCACUGAGGCCAAGCUUUGAGGUUUGUCUAUGCCUUUCAUCCCACCGUUCUUCCCCAGCCCUCCACCCACCCUGGAAUGUUCCCCAACUGACUGGGUAUACACGAUUCCACUACACUGGGGCCCCGGGUGUGGGAGCUCCUGAAAUUUGGGCAGUAGUUACCAAUCGACCCCUCCUUCUGUAAGAUAACCUCAGUUUGGCCCCCAAAGUUACAUUUUAGGAGAAACAGAUCUGUUUGAGGCUGGCGGGAAAAGUUCGCCACAAAGGCUCCCUCCUACCUCCCCGCCGUCCCCUGCUCCCGUAAUCGUUGAAUGAACCUGGUUUUAAUCUAGAGUCUCAGAGUUCUGGAUGACAAACUGCUCCCUCUGACAAGGAUGGGUGCGCAGAUCCUCCACUUCUUAAGAAUUCUGUGAGCCAGAGACAGUAGAGACUGUCCCUAGACUAGAAACAAUCGUGUUGACACCUGCGAGAGGAGGUGGAAAACCUCAGCCCCAGAGUGGGAGUCGCCAGGCUCUUUAGAUGAGAGUUAGGAGGAAUGAGAGGGUGUGAGCCUGUUAGCACAUGGGAGCAGCCACGCUGCAGCCACCGCAGCCCCCACAUCAUGGCUGGGACGUGUGUGUCACCAGGGCCUGGAGAAGGCCCUGACCACCUGGAACAAGCACACCCAUAGUAUCCCCACAUGCUAAACCAGAGUUGAGCAGCACCUUGUGAUGGUGAGGGCUGGGCUGCACAGUGGUUAGGGUCUCUGACUCUGGAGUCUCACAUACCUGGUUCCUCUCCCCUCCACUCCUUUCUGGCUAUGUGUCCACGCACAAGGGACCAGCCUCGCAAAGCCUUGUUUCCUCAUCAUUAAUGGGGACGCUAAUAGGACCCACUUGGUAGAUUUGUAAUGAGGAUUAAAUACGUGUAAAAUAUUUCCAUAAUUCUUGGUAUAUUCAGACAGCUCCACUACUGUUAGCUUCCAUUACUGUUAUUUUGGACAUUAUUAAUUGUAGUGUCUCUUAACUAUUGGUGGAACAAUAGAUCCUAAAUGAUGUUUGAACGUGCAGCCCUGUGUGUGGCGGCAAGCGCUGACCUCACCUGGAUGCCAGUCCCAGAGAGCCCAGCCCUUUUCCUGGCCUCAUCCACAAAAUCCUGACAGAGCCCCACGAGGGGCAACUGUUCAUAUUGCCAAGUUUUUUCACCCAAAGACUCUGAGGUGCAGGAAAGAAGAGGAAUGCUCCCCUGUGUCACCUGGUUAGUAGGAAGCUGGCCUGGGGCUUGGAGCCCAGGCCUCUGGCUUUCUCUCCUUCCCCUAAACCAUAUGGUAUGGAGGGUUUUGCAGGAAUGCCCUAAAACCUAUUGGUUAGUCUGUCCCAGCAAUGAGGAACCUAGAAAAAAUGAUGACUCCUCAGGUUGGGUGUCCCCUGAUCCCCCCAUAUCACACAAGUCACAAGACAUGUGUAGUCCACACCCCACGGGGUGGGUGCAGGGCAGUCCUCCAGUCGCUUAUUGGGAGGAAGAAAUCACCCAGCAAAUAGCCAAGCCCCCAGACAGCCAGCGCCACCCCUUGGGAGAAAAGGCUUAAGGGAGUUUAAUUAAGCGAAUUCCAGACUCCAGGUCUGCCUUGAGAUAUCCAGCCUUGUACCUGCUGUCAGGCUGAUAACGGAAGCUCAGUGGAAACCUCUCCAAGCUCAGGUCCUAGAAUUACUGCACAUGAAUGGAGGCAAUGAUUAAGCGAAUCUGGUUUUUAUAGUUAAGGAAAACUCUUAACUAGUAUGAGCCUUUAGGAGGCAAAUUGGCCUGGGCCCAGGCCUCAGGCACGUGUGGCUAAACCAUCAGCAUGUGAUAAAUUAUCCUAUUUUUAUAGAUCUUCAAAGAAACUGCUACCAUAAACUUAUUUAUUUUAGGAACUCAGAGUGCUUCUAAGUGGCUCUGUCUCCUUUAGGGUCACCCUCCCUGUCAGGAAUCUGUUCCGGGACAAGCCUCCUUCCUGCCCUUCUUGGUGAAAAUCGGGGGGGAGGGGGGUCGGUUGCCCCACCCUGGCUCCCUCCUGAGCCCCUCUCUCUUCAGAUCACCCAACCGUUGCCCCCACCUUUCCCUCCCAAUUCUUAAGUUAUAAACACCAAAUUUUCCACAAUUCUCUGCUGAAACUUCUCCAAGACUCUUUUAAACGUUGGGACCAAGACUGCACACAGCAUUCUCAUCCAGGUCUGGCCAUAGGUGAGGAAAUCAGAAGAUUAUAUUAAACUAUGUAAAAAUUUGUCUUGUUUAUAUCCAACCACAAAAUCAGUUCAGCCUUUAUUUACUGUGGUGUGGGGAGAGAGGAGAAGCAGGGGUGGGGAUCCCAGCUCCACUGGUAACCAUAUGAGUAAGUAUAUAGGUAGGAUCCACUGUGACCUCAGGAUCCCUUUCUGUUGGACACUCACAUAACCAGCCCACAGAGCCCCGCAUCCUCCCUUUGUGUGAUCUGGGCUCCCUUUAACUGCACAAGUUGGAGGCCUUACCUAGCCCCAUCUGAUGGUAUGCUUGUGAAAAACAGCCUCCCUGCAUGGUAAUCCCCACCCUGACCCCAAGGAGCCCUGAUGUGGGCUCUGCAACCCUCACCACCGCAGCUCUGCCCGCUCAGGAGAUGCAUUCCUCAGCUGCUUCUGCCCGGCCAGAAUGGGCAAAAGAGCCUGAGCGUGGACUCAACCAUUCCAGGUUCCCCUGGACCCGACAGGGAGUGGAAAGCAUUCCUGACCCCCUGGGGAAGAAAGUGUGCUCACCAUACAGCUGGCCUACACCCCAUCUUCUCUUGACCCACUCUCCCAAGCUUGCCAGGCCAGAGGCACCUGCCUAGAUGUUACUGAACACAUUGAGGGCCCCUGCUUUCCUGGGGCGCUUUCCAGACCAGGAAACUGGUCCAAGCUUGCAGAGUUGGUUGCCAGCCUUGGGGGAAUUCUGAACACCGCAGGCAGCCCCAGCGAGGUCGCAGAGUCCCCGCGGCUGCUCUUGGGCAAGAUGAAAGCCCGGAGGAGGAGAUCUUCCCUUCUACCUCCCACCCCAGGAUGAGUUGGGCUCUGAUCUCCAUCUCAGAGGGACAACAGCCUGGCCCCGACAAGGCGCCAGACCCGGGCACCUCCAAGCCCACCCCCUUAACGACGUAACUGCCCGCAAGAGACGGAAAAAGUGCCGGGGGAGAUGUUCUUAUUCAAUCAAAGCACAGGACGAUUUCCUCGGCUAGCGCCAAGACUAUCCGAGUGGAGUUGGCCCAAUAAGCAGAUUCCAACUCCCUGAGAGAGGAUCUUCAGGGUCACUUGGAUUCUAGCCGGCGUGGAACCACUCUGAAAACAGAGACAGCAAAGCAGUGGCCAGACUGGACCCACGCGCCAGGAUUUAUUCUUUCUCUCAGCAAGCAGCUGCCUUGGGGCGGAAGAAUCAGCCGGGGUUGGGGCAGCUGGUCAUAGUGGGUCCAUCUGGGAGCCCCUGUGGGUGGGGCAGACUCUCUACUGACCGCAGAUUGUCCAGCGUGG